UACGGAGGGGGCUAGCGUUGUUCGGAAUUACUGGGCGUAAAGCGCGCGUAGGCGGACCUGCAAGUCGGGGGUGAAAGCCCGAGGCUCAACCUCGGAACUGCCUUCGAUACUGCGGGUCUCGAGUCCGGGAGAGGUGAGUGGAAUUCCUAGUGUAGAGGUGAAAUUCGUAGAUAUUAGGAAGAACACCAGUGGCGAAGGCGGCUCACUGGCCCGGUACUGACGCUGAACUGCGAAAGCUAGGGGAGCGAACGGG
RNAcentral lists this ribosomal RNA (253 nucleotides) under uncultured bacterium. RNAcentral's name for it is "partial 16S ribosomal RNA". It matches the Rfam family "Bacterial small subunit ribosomal RNA", at positions 524 to 776 of the family's 1533-position model. The record is from RNAcentral.